Molecule: long non-coding RNA, 852 nt
Organism: Astatotilapia calliptera (eastern happy)
Lineage: Eukaryota; Metazoa; Chordata; Actinopteri; Cichliformes; Cichlidae
Source: Ensembl
AUUGGUCUAUAUUUGUGUAACAGAGUUAAUAAUACAUAUGAAAAACAUGCACUUACCUGUUCUUAAUUAUCAUUUUAAGUGUGAAUUUUAUCUUUUUUUUUUUAAUUGUAUUUUAUUUUGAAAACCCAGAAACCGGAUCUCACCCUAACGUUUAGAAGCUGCUAAGGCUUCCGCUCCUCACAGCGCGCGCUUGCACUGUGAGGGUAAGUCCGGUAAUGAAAGGCUCUGGCAUUUUUAUGGUUUCUGGUGUGAAUGUUGUUACAUAAGUUAUAUAUGUCGAUGUAUAUAGGUUCAUAUUGAUAUUAGAAAGUUUCUGUGUAACUGAAACAAAGGCGGGUUGCUGUUAAAUAGUGUUUCUGCCGUAUUUAUGCUCUUUGGCAGUUAGUCUUUGUCAGCCCCCUAGUGGUUGCUGCGCAUAGCAGGAAAUGUGUUUGGAUUUACCGUUUUUCUGUGCUUUUUGUGAUGUUGCUUUACAUUGUAGGAGCUACAAUUGCCGGUACCACCAGAAGACACCUGUUGAAUGUGUUUUAUGUCUUCUGCAGAAGUAAACUGUGAAAAGCCAACCCUUCUGAGCGUCUGUGAUUCUUGAAGAGCUGGAAGUGUUACACUGGUGCCGUGACCAUUCGGAUCUUCAGAUCAGCUUGAUGCUCAUCGCCGUGGCUGCUGUUCUGCUCCCCUGCUGUUCACAAGUUGAAUGUGGGUUGUUGUAACCAAGAGCUACAAUUGCCGGUACCACCAGAAGACACCUGUUGAAUGUGUUUUAUGUCUUCUGCAGAAGUAAACUGUGAAAAGCCAACCCUUCUGAGCGUCUGUGAUUCUUGAAGAGCUGGAAGUGUUACACUUGCAAUUUGU